RNAcentral lists this ribosomal RNA (586 nucleotides) under Marchantia romanica. Its description in RNAcentral is "partial 26S ribosomal RNA". It matches the Rfam family "Eukaryotic large subunit ribosomal RNA", at positions 51 to 632 of the family's 3401-position model. Lineage: Eukaryota; Viridiplantae; Streptophyta; Marchantiopsida; Marchantiales; Marchantiaceae. The record is from RNAcentral.
CGGAGGAAAAGAAACUAACAAGGAUUCCCCUAGUAGCGGCGAGCGAACCGGGAGAAGCCCAGCUUGAAAAUCGCGCCGUUUUUCGCGGCGCGAGUUGUAGUCUGGAGAAGCGUCCUCUGUUGCGGACUCGGCCCAAGUCCCCUGGAAAGGGGCGUCAGAGAGGGUGAGAACCCCGUCGGGCUGAGACCCUGCAGCUCCACGAGGCGCUGUCGACGAGUCGGGCUGUUUGGGAAUGCAGCCCUAAGCGGGAGGUAAAUUCCUUCCAAGGCUAAAUACUGGCGAGAGACCGAUAGCGAACAAGUACCGCGAGGGAAAGAUGAAAAGGACUUUGAAAAGAGAGUUAAAAAGUGCUUGAAAUUGCUGGGAGGGAAGCGAAUGGAGGCCUUGUGUGCGCCCCGGUCGGAUGCGGAACGGCGCAAGCUGGUCCGCCGCUCGACGCGGGGUGCUGGUCAGCGUGGGCUGGUUCGGCGGGACAAAAGUCGGGCUUCAGUGCCCGGCCGAUGCCGUCGAGUCGGCCGAGGAAUCGAAGCGCGCGUCCCUCGGGACGGGGCCUGCGGGUCACCUGCGCGCUCGAGACGUUGCGUAG